UCCGCGCACAGAAAAUCUGUGCUGCGCACAAAAAAAAAAAAAAAACCUAAAUUGUAAAUAAAAUAAACACGUAACAAUUCAUUCUGUGCUAUUUUUCAAUGUGAGUCAGUGAGUGACCGGUGACUGGCUGCUGCAGCCAAUGAUGCGAUUCACAUACGUAUUUACCAUAGACUGUAUAUAAUGGUAUUUACGCAGCUAAUCAACGUCAGACGUCCUUCUGUAUAGCCACCGUUGUUCUCAUAGAUAUGAAUGAGUAGAUAGGACACGCCCCUUUGAGCUGCGUGCUACAGCGAGGCUAAGCUAGUGGGGGCAAAGUUUCAGUGCAUUCCGUUGAUGUAGACGGCGUGAAAACGGAAACAAGAAGUAUGCCGGCUCACUGUGCUGCAUACAGUUACACACUACGUCGUACGAUUGAGACAAGGAAACUUGGAAUGACUUUUCAUAGGUAAGAAUAGUUUUUGGCUCUUUUUUCAUUAUUAAAUCUUGUUGAGAGCUUCCAGUCUAUGAGAGCUAACUAGUUAGCCACUAGCAAAACACUAAGGCGAGCUAGCAGCUUGACAACCAAAUACCAGACGAUUAAUAGUAGCUGUAGUAUAGUUGUACAAGCAGUAGUAGUAAUACUAAAAGUACAAGCAGCAGCAGUAGUAUAAACAGCUGUCAGAGUCGUAGAAGUAGUAUCAGCAUUUGUAAUAGUAUUACAAGUUGUAGUAGCAGUGCCAGUAUCAGCAGCAGUAGUUCAAUCAAUCAAAUCAAUCAAAAAUUUAUUUAUAGAGCACUUUCCACCAACAUAGAAGAAGACCAAAGUGCUUUCCAGACAGAAUAAUUAAAAAAACAAUGCAGUUUUUGAUUACUAUAAAACCAUAAAACCCAUAAAAACACAAAACUAAGAAAAGCAUAAAAGCAUAAAACCAUAAAAAACAUAAAACAGUCCUAAGAUUCGAAAGCACGUCUAAAUAAAUAGGUUUUCAAUGUAGACUUAAAAAGCUGCAGGUUGGUAAUAACGCGGAGCUCGAGUGGGAGUGCAUUCCAGAGUCUUGGGGUGGCUACAGCAAAGCAUCGAUCACCCCACUGCUUAUACCGGGACCUGGGCAUAUCCAGCACCAUCUGUGUGGACGACCGGAGGGCUCUACUGGGGCGGUGGAUGGUUAAAAGCUCCGAUAUGUCUAAAGGAGCUAGGCCAUGAAGGGCUUUAAAAACAAUUGUUAAAAUUUUAAACUCAAUACGAUGAUGGACCGGGAGCCAAUGGAGGGCGGAGAGGAUGGGGGUGAUGUGUGUGUCUGGAUAUGCGGGUUAACAGACGGGCAGCUGCAUUCUGAACCAGUUGUAGUCGACGGAGUGACGAUUGUGUGACACCAAAUUAGAGAGCAUUACAAUAAUCGAUACGAGAACUGAUAAAAGCGUGAAUGGCCUAGUAGUUAGUGUACUACCACUACUACUAGUAGUAGUCACAUUGCUAUUACUAUCACCAAUACUACCAAUAGUAGUUAUAAAGCCUAACUCAUGUAUAUCCAGAUUACCAUCUAUGUUCUUCCUCCAAACCCAUUUUAUGAUUGGGAUUACAGGCAGUUCUUUAGGACUGCUCUCAAAUAAUUGAAAUGUUACUAAACAAGGUUAUACUUAUCAAAUUAAAUAGCUCUGGUCUCCAGUAUAUUGGCGAAUUUGGUUAUUUGUACUUAAUUUAUUAGCAUGAUUUCUUUUUAAUAUGUUGUGUACAGACUUAAUUACUUCUCUGUCUACUUUUCUUACUCCAUGUAGGUUUCCCAGAGACUAUGGGUUGAGGAGGAAUUGGAAGUUUGUCGGCUUAGACCUGGUGUCAUUCCAUCAGUGUUAAACUUCCCGGCUCAUCUUGGAAGAGUACAUGCCAGAAAGACUACGACCAAGCAGCCUUGAGAUCUUAGGCAGCGUCUCCCUGAGGUCCCUCUCUAUCUCCCCACACAUCCACCAACCACUGGAACACAUCUCCAAAGUUCUGCUGGGCCAGCUCAGCUUCCCCUCAGAAGAAGUGCUGCCACCUGCCAGAUGAAGGAGCCUUUUGAGAGGCAGCUGGCAUCGUGGUUGGACUGUACUUUGGUCUGUUCCAAUCCAGCUUCAGCUCCAGAGACGGCAGGCGGGACGAGUCAACGGAGGCCUGGUGGACGAAGGCAUGCAGCUGAGUACAAUCCAGAAAACAACAGAGGAGGAGUGCAGGGUCCAGAGCCAGAACAACCAGAGUAGCAUCAUAUGUCUCUUAGAAAACAUCAUAGUAGAGCCUUUGGUAUGAAAAAACGCCAUCAUAUACAUCAUAUAUUGUACAAAUAACAAGUCAAAGGAAAGAGACAUACAUUGUAGAAUUGUAGUAAUUGUGGGCUGACUGAUUUACUGAUUAUCAGUAUUUUAUUUUUUACUGAUUUACAGUAAUAAAUAAAUUUAAAAAUGGC
Amphiprion ocellaris (clown anemonefish) is the source of this 2417-nucleotide long non-coding RNA. RefSeq lists it as uncharacterized. NCBI's taxonomy places the organism in Eukaryota, Metazoa, Chordata, Actinopteri, Pomacentridae. The transcript has 2 exons. The record is from RefSeq and is a predicted model, not a curated record.